Carassius carassius (crucian carp) is the source of this 971-nucleotide long non-coding RNA. RefSeq lists it as uncharacterized. Lineage: Eukaryota; Metazoa; Chordata; Actinopteri; Cypriniformes; Cyprinidae. The transcript has 5 exons. The record is from RefSeq and is a predicted model, not a curated record.
UACUCAAAGGACCUGUGACUCUCAGGAAAUGCAUCAAAUGAGAGUGACAGGUGAAACAGUUUCAAGACAAUGGCAGGAAAAGCAUGCUGAAGAUUGAAUCAAACCUUGGCUGGAAAUAUUUGAAGGGAUCUAGCCAGUCCACAAUGAAAGCUUCGUGGCCCCCUUUGAGUCUUCUGGCAGAAAUGAUGGCGCCUGUAUUCUUUGGUUUCCCUAAACAUCACACCCUGUUUAUACGAGGCUCUUCAAUUAAGUCUGCACCCAAAGAUUCAAUAAGAGGUAAGCAAUGGACAGGAGACACCAAUCUUAAUCAGCCGAGCUCAGGUUCAUGUCCAGAGGGGAUCCUGCCAGUCCAAAGUGAACUCCUGAUGGACAUUGAAGUACUCAUGCAGAGCUUGUAUCUUCGACACCAUGCGCAUUAGAAACUCCACUGAGUGCUUUCCUUAAAGGCAGGACCCAGUGACUCAUUACUGUUGAUCGGUCGGGGGCAGGUCAUUUUUUGUUUCAUGUUUAUUCAUUUCUCCAUGGAUUACCAGCCAUAUAUAUGGACACAUGCUGUAUUCUCAAGAUCUAUGCUGUUUGGUAGGAAUAGAGAAAAUGAUAUGUUUAGUCUGUUUUCAAAUGGUAUGUCAAAUUUUCUCAUUGUCUAUCAGUAAUAUUCACUAACUUGGUUAUAUAUGAGCAUCUUUAGAUUUUUCUAUAUUUAGCGGUUGCAAAUGUAAAAUGUACGGUAAACUAUUUAUGUUCCUCAUAUUGUACUGUAUUUUUAGCGAUAAAAUACCGGCAGCUGUGGUUGCCAGGAAUUUACCGUAAAAUGUAUCUGGUCAAAAUAAAAUGCUGUAAUUUGUUAUACAAUUUCACUGUGUUUUUUACUGUCAAAGGUUUUAAUAAGGUUUAGCAUAUUUCUGUUAUUUUUACAGUUAUUUCCCAUAAUAGGGUCUAUCCUAUUACUGUUAAAUUAACAACAAAUUACU